ACAUUAAUAGUAUAAUUAUAAUAUAUUGGAUUUAGAAUCCAAAGAUUUAGUUAUGUA
This 57-nucleotide transfer RNA is filed under the name Allodiplogaster sudhausi. RNAcentral's name for it is "tRNA-Leu". The record is from RNAcentral. Lineage: Eukaryota; Metazoa; Nematoda; Chromadorea; Rhabditida; Diplogasteridae.